UACAGGGGGGGCAAGCGUUGUUCGGAAUUACUGGGCGUAAAGGGCUCGUAGGCGGCCAACUAAGUCACACGUGAAAUCCCCAGGCUCAACCUGGGAACUGCGUGUGAUACUGGAUGGCUUGAAUUCGGGAGAGGGAUGCAGAAUUCCAGGUGUAGCGGUGAAAUGCGUAGAUAUCUGGAGGAAUACCGGUGGCGAAGGCGGCAUCCUGGACCGACAUUGACGCUGAUGAGCGAAAGCUAGGGGAGCAAACGGG
This 253-nucleotide ribosomal RNA is filed under the name uncultured bacterium. RNAcentral describes it as "partial 16S ribosomal RNA". It matches the Rfam family "Bacterial small subunit ribosomal RNA", at positions 524 to 776 of the family's 1533-position model. The record is from RNAcentral.